Molecule: long non-coding RNA, 366 nt
Organism: Gallus gallus (chicken)
Lineage: Eukaryota; Metazoa; Chordata; Aves; Galliformes; Phasianidae
Source: Ensembl
UGCUUCUGGGAGCACGUGUGCAACCUGAGUCUGUGCAGGUCCCUGUUCCCCCGCCCUUUUCUCCUGCAGCGCAACAGUACGAACAGGAGAAGGCUGCAUUCCUCAGCUUGCCCCUUUCUCCAAAAUGUUACUGGGAGGGAGUUGAAGAUGGAUGACCAUAUCGACACAAUGUAGAGUAAGAAUUGUUGCAGAGUAGUCCUUACACAGAAUCCAGGUCUCUUCUGUUGCCCUGCCAGCAAGCAGAUUGGAGUGCAAAAGAAGUCUGGACACAGGAUAGCUGAUCCAAACUGUCCAGGGGGAUAUUUCAUACCAUUAUAGUGCCAUGUUCCACAAUAAAGAUGUUGGGAAAGAAGGAGAAAGUGGAGG